This 403-nucleotide ribosomal RNA is filed under the name Verrucomicrobiota bacterium. RNAcentral describes it as "Verrucomicrobia bacterium partial 16S ribosomal RNA". It matches the Rfam family "Bacterial small subunit ribosomal RNA", at positions 355 to 776 of the family's 1533-position model. The record is from RNAcentral. Lineage: Bacteria; Pseudomonadati; Verrucomicrobiota.
UGGGGAAUUUUGCACAAUGGGGGAAACCCUGAUGCAGCGACGCCGCGUGAUUUAGAAGGCCUUCGGGUUGUAAAAAUCUUUUCUAUGGGAAGAAAAUGACAGUACCAUAGGAAUAAGGACUGGCUAAUUACGUGCCAGCAGCCGCGGUAAUACGUAAGGUCCAGGCGUUAUCCGGAUUUAUUGGGUUUAAAGGGAGCGUAGGCUGUUUGUUAAGCGUGUUGUGAAAUGUAAGAGCUCAACUUUUAGAUUGCAGCGCGAACUGGCAGACUUGAGUGCGCACAACGUAGGCGGAAUUCAUGGUGUAGCGGUGAAAUGCUUAGAUAUCAUGACGAACUCCGAUUGCGAAGGCAGCUUACGGGAGCGCAACUGACGCUAAAGCUCGAAGGUGCGGGUAUCGAACAGG